UACGUAGGGUGCGAGCGUUAAUCUGAAUUACUGGGCGUAAAGCGUGCGCAGGCGGUUUGUUGUGUCGGCGGUGAAAGCCCCGGGCUCAACCUGGGAAUGGCCGUUGAAACUGGCGAACUGGAGUGUGGCAGAGGGGGGUGGAAUUCCGCGUGUAGCAGUGAAAUGCGUAGAGAUGCGGAGGAACACCGAUGGCGAAGGCAGCCCCCUGGGCUGACACUGACGCUCAGGCACGAAAGCGUGGGGAGCAAACAGG
Molecule: ribosomal RNA, 253 nt
Filed under: uncultured bacterium
Lineage: Bacteria
Description: partial 16S ribosomal RNA
Rfam family: Bacterial small subunit ribosomal RNA
Source: RNAcentral